This 90-nucleotide non-coding RNA is filed under the name Solibacillus silvestris. Its description in RNAcentral is "TPP sequence". It matches the Rfam family "TPP riboswitch aptamer (THI element)". From Rfam's summary of the family: Vitamin B(1) in its active form thiamin pyrophosphate (TPP) is an essential coenzyme that is synthesised by coupling of pyrimidine and thiazole moieties in bacteria. The previously detected thiamin-regulatory element, thi box was extended, resulting in a new, highly conserved RNA secondary structure, the THI element, which is widely distributed in eubacteria and also occurs in some archaea. Lineage: Bacteria; Bacillati; Bacillota; Bacilli; Caryophanales; Caryophanaceae. The record is from RNAcentral. RNAcentral also lists the same sequence under 1 other name.
GAAAACUACUAGGGGCGCCUGUUUGGCUGAGAAGAACCCUUUGCACCUGAUCUAGGUAAUACUAGCGUAGGAAAGUAGUGUCGAUCCCUU